RNAcentral lists this non-coding RNA (117 nucleotides) under Gorilla gorilla gorilla (western lowland gorilla). The record is from Rfam by way of RNAcentral. Lineage: Eukaryota; Metazoa; Chordata; Mammalia; Primates; Hominidae.
GCCGGGCAUGGUGGCUCAUGCCUGUAAUCCCAGCAUUUGGGAGGCUGAGGUGGGCGGAUCACCUGAGGUCAGGAGUUUGAGACCCAGCCUGGCCAACAUGGUGAAACUUCGUCUCUA